AUUGAACGCUGGCGGCAGGCCUAACACAUGCAAGUCGAGCAGAUGAAGGGAGCUUGCUCCUGGAUUCAGCGGCGGACGGGUGAGUAAUGCCUAGGAAUCUGCCUGGUAGUGGGGGAUAACGUCCGGAAACGGGCGCUAAUACCGCAUACGUCCUGAGGGAGAAAGUGGGGGAUCUUCGGACCUCACGCUAUCAGAUGAGCCUAGGUCGGAUUAGCUAGUUGGUGGGGUAAAGGCCUACCAAGGCGACGAUCCGUAACUGGUCUGAGAGGAUGAUCAGUCACACUGGAACUGAGACACGGUCCAGACUCCUACGGGAGGCAGCAGUGGGGAAUAUUGGACAAUGGGCGAAAGCCUGAUCCAGCCAUGCCGCGUGUGUGGAGAAGGUCUUCGGAUUGUAAAGCACUUUAAGUUGGGAGGAAGGGCAGUAAGUUAAUACCUUGCUGUUUUGACGUUACCAACAGAAUAAGCACCGGCUAACUUCGUG
Molecule: ribosomal RNA, 484 nt
Filed under: uncultured bacterium
Lineage: Bacteria
Description: partial 16S ribosomal RNA
Rfam family: Bacterial small subunit ribosomal RNA
Source: RNAcentral